GACGAACGCUGGCGGCGUGCUUAACACAUGCUAGUCGAACGGAAAGGCCCUGCUUUUGUGGGGUGCUCGAGUGGCGAACGGGUGAGUAACACGUGAGUAACCUGCCCUUGACUUUGGGAUAACUUCAGGAAACUGGGGCUAAUACCGGAUAGGAGCUCCUGCUGCAUGGUGGGGGUUGGAAAGUUUCGGCGGUUGGGGAUGGACUCGCGGCUUAUCAGCUUGUUGGUGGGGUAGUGGCUUACCAAGGCUUUGACGGGUAGCCGGCCUGAGAGGGUGACCGGCCACAUUGGGACUGAGAUACGGCCCAGACUCCUACGGGAGGCAGCAGUGGGGAAUAUUGCACAAUGGGCGGAAGCCUAAUGCAGCAACGCCGCGUGCGGGAUGACGGCCUUCGGGUUGUAAACCGCUUUCGCCUGUGACGAAGCGUGAGUGACGGUAAUGGGUAAAGAAGCACCGGCUAACUACGUG
RNAcentral lists this ribosomal RNA (468 nucleotides) under uncultured bacterium. RNAcentral describes it as "partial 16S ribosomal RNA". It matches the Rfam family "Bacterial small subunit ribosomal RNA", at positions 28 to 507 of the family's 1533-position model. The record is from RNAcentral.